RNAcentral lists this ribosomal RNA (492 nucleotides) under uncultured bacterium. Its description in RNAcentral is "partial 16S ribosomal RNA". It matches the Rfam family "Bacterial small subunit ribosomal RNA", at positions 29 to 507 of the family's 1533-position model. The record is from RNAcentral.
AGUGAACGCUGGCGGUAGGCCUAACACAUGCAAGUCGAACGGCAGCACAGUAAGAGCUUGCUCUUACGGGUGGCGAGUGGCGGACGGGUGAGGCAUACAUCGGAAUCUACUUUUUCGUGGGGGAUAACGUAGGGAAACUUACGCUAAUACCGCAUACGACCUACGGGUGAAAGCAGGGGAUCUUCGGACCUUGCGCGAUUGAAUGAGCCGAUGUCUGAUUAGCUAGUUGGCGGGGUAAAGGCCCACCAAGGCGACGAUCCGUAGCUGGUCUGAGAGGGUGAUCAGCCACACUGGAACUGAGACACGGUCCAGACUCCUACGGGAGGCAGCAGUGGGGAAUAUUGGACAAUGGGCGCAAGCCUGAUCCAGCCAUACCGCGUGGGUGAAGAAGGCCUUCGGGUUGUAAAGCCCUUUUGUUGGGAAAGAAAAGCAGCAGGUUAAUACCCCGCUGUUCUGACGGUACCCAAAGAAUAAGCACCGGCUAACUUCGUG